ACAAGGAAUUGCGUACGUGCAUAUUACUUAAUUUACGGUAAAGAAACUUUCGGUGUCUAGAAGGAGCCCAAAGCUCAAUUGUGAUACUCCAAAGCGAACGUUGUCGACAUCUCGGCGUGAAACGGUAGGUAUUGGUCGCGUAUUCGGAACAUUAUUUGUUUUACUUUAUUUUCUGGGCCGUGUAUCAUUUCUAAUCGUUUAGAGUAUGCACGCACUAUAUGAAUUGUGAUGGGUGGUUAUUGCGACGAGGCCGUGUGGUCAACCCGGUGCCAAAGCAAUCUCCUCACAAAACUGAGGAUGGUGUCGACGAGCAACGAGAUUCGACAACGGUGUUACUGCUUUCAAAAUAAAUACCAUAUAAACCAUAACAAAUUGGAGUCUGAUCUAACACGAUAUACGGACAUUACGCACCCUAAAACCAACUCGGCGAGAGAUAAUAUGUUCGGCAUUGCGUCAAUUUUGUGGGCUGAUUUAUGACAUUGGAGAUUGUAGUUGCCCAAAAUCUUUAGCUGGUUAAAAAGACAGAUCGGGCGACGACAGAUUAGUAGUCCAACCAGUUCAAUCUCAAAAAUUGUGCUAACUAAUCUGCCGUCGGAUUACGUGUGAUUUUCCUAAUCGGACAACGGAAUUCUAUUUCCUCGUUAAAUAUUAUAUUUCCAUGAAAGGGAAUCUUAGUCUACGGACAAAAGUUGUUGCGUCCGAUUUUUUAGACAACAAAUUGUUUUCAUUAUAGAUUUUAAAAAGAAAAUCUGACAAUUAUUAUCCCUGUAGCGACCAUCCGAUUUCAAGAAAACAACAUAUAAACAUAUUAUAAUACCUAAAUAAAUAAAUAUAAAAUGCUUUUGCAACAGAAUGAAUUAUUUAUCUAUUUAAAAUGUUAUCCGCAGACUAAAUUUAACCGGCACAUAUCUAAUUACUCAAGCUAAAGAUGUGAGACUGGAAUGAAAUUAGCAGUCAUUACUAGUCUUUUAACUAUAUGGUCCUUUUGAUCAGCGGUAAAUUAGCUUUCCUCCUAACAAAGCCUGUAUAGCAAGCAGUGGGCCGUAAAUAAGACAGCUCGACCUCCCCUUAACACCUUUUCUGUUGUCAAUCACAGCUCUGCAAUUCAUCCCUAGAUUAACCUUUAUCUGCAAAAUUCAAAAAAAAUCUUCGUCCAAAGUGGCUAAUUUUUAAACUGAAAAGAUCUGUUAAAUUUCAGUAUAAUUAACCCAAGUGUCAGAAACCCAGUCCAGUUUCUCAACCAAUUUCAGAGGAUUUGGCGUCUUGAUAACGGAACAAGUAAUAAUGCAGGCAAGAUUUUUUAAAUUAGUUUUUCCCCUUUCAGCCACUCUGGUUUGCUAUCCUGUUAUUAAAUUCGACAUUGUAUAAUAGAUUGCACGUUUCUGAACAAUUUAACCCCUUCGCCCCCAAGUAAUGAAACAUGGAUUAUAAAUAUAUCUAGGUUGAAGUAAGAUGGUUUACAGAG
This is a long non-coding RNA of Amblyraja radiata (thorny skate), 1465 nucleotides long. RefSeq lists it as uncharacterized. The record is from RefSeq and is a predicted model, not a curated record. The transcript has 2 exons. NCBI's taxonomy places the organism in Eukaryota, Metazoa, Chordata, Chondrichthyes, Rajiformes, Rajidae.